GACGAACGCUGGCGGCGUGCCUAAUACAUGCAAGUUGAGCGCUGAAGGUUGGUACUUGUACCGACUGGAUGAGCAGCGCACGGGUGAGUAACGCGUGGGGAAUCUGCCUUUGAUCGGGGGACAACAAUUGGAAACGAAUGCUAAUACCGCAUAAAAACUUUAAACACAAGUUUUAAGGUUGAAAGAUGCCAUUGCAUCACUCAAAGAUGAUCCCGCGUUGUGUUAGCUAGUUGGUGAGGUAAAGGCGCACCAAGGCGAGGAUACAUAGCCGACCUGAGAGGGUGAUCGGCCACAUUGGGACUGAGACACGGCCCAAACUCCUACGGGAGGCAGCAGUAGGGAAUCUUCGGCAAUGGACGAAAGUCUGACCGAGCAGCGCCGAGUGCGUGAAGAAGGUUGUCGGAUCGUAAAACUCUGUUGGUAGGGAAGAACGUUGGUGAGAGUGGAAAGCUCAUCAAGUGACGGUAACUACUCAAAAAGGGACGGCUAACUACGUG
Molecule: ribosomal RNA, 497 nt
Filed under: uncultured bacterium
Lineage: Bacteria
Description: partial 16S ribosomal RNA
Rfam family: Bacterial small subunit ribosomal RNA
Source: RNAcentral